GGAACUUCAUUGACGAGAACGAGUACGAUUCCCAGUUCGUUCACCAGAGAGCCGUUGAUUGCUGAGAAGCGGCGUUCGAACCGAUUCGGAAAAUCAUCUCCGAGAAGCAGUGCUGAACAUGAGAUCCUAUGGGAUCCAUUAUUAAGGGCUGACGGCUUGUCCCCCGUUACAGGGACCGCGAAUUUACGUAAUUCGCGCCAAGGUGCCGCAUCCGGUUGUUUUUUAGCUGCUGGUCUGCGGAACAAGGGUGGUAACGCGAGCGCAGCCUCGUCCCUUUU
RNAcentral lists this non-coding RNA (278 nucleotides) under Paenibacillus sp. RNAcentral describes it as "T-box sequence". It matches the Rfam family "T-box leader". From Rfam's summary of the family: Uncharged tRNA acts as the effector for transcription antitermination of genes in the T-box leader family. Lineage: Bacteria; Bacillati; Bacillota; Bacilli; Caryophanales; Paenibacillaceae. The record is from RNAcentral.